UCAAGACUGAUGUCGUUGUUUUUUUGGUGUUGUGGGGUCCUUUAGAAAGAGCAUCAGAUCUUUCAAUGAGUUACAAAUAAAUAAGUUAGGAAAAUUAUCUGGAAAGUUAAACCAUAGAGUGUAAUAGUCACGUAUCUGAAAACUUUUUUACUCAUUAAGGCCACCCCAAGUAGCAAGGAGGAUAUUCCUUGUGAAUCUGCGAGGACCACCUCGUAAGGCUAAGUACUAACCAGUGACCGAUAGUGAACAAGUACCGUGAGGGAAAGGUGAAAAGUACCCCGAUAAGGGGAGUGAAAUAGUACCUGAAACCAAUAGCUUACAAGCAGUAGGAGGAACAUUUAUUUUCUGACUGCCUGCCUUUUGAAGAAUGAGCCAACGAGUUAUCCGUAUGUGGCAAGGUUAAGGAGUAAAUCCGUAGCCGCAGCGAAAGCGAGUUUUAAUAGAGCGUCUAGUCGCAUGCGAUAGACCCGAAGCCAAGUGAUCUAUCCAUGGGCAGGGUGAAGCGAAGGUAAGACUUCGUGAAGGCCCGAACCCACUGAUGUUGCAAAAUCAGGGGAUGACCUGUGGAUAGGGGUGAAAGGCCAAUCAAACUUGGUGAUAGCUGGUUCUCUCCGAAAUGUCUUUAGGGACAGCGUUAUAUGUUGCGCUUUGGAGGUAGAGCACUGAUUGGGCUAGGGGGCCAACAAGCUUACUGAACUCAGUCAAACUCCGAAUGCCAAAGUGUUUAAAUAUAGCAGUGAGCCUAUGGGGGAUAAGCUCCAUAGACGAGAGGGAAACAACCCAGAUCAUCAGCUAAGGCCCCUAAAUGUAUGUUAAGUGUGAAACGAUGUGAGAGUGUUCAGACAGCCAGGAGGUUGGCUUAGAAGCAGCCAUUCCUUUAAAGAGUGCGUAACAGCUCACUGGUCGAAUGUUCUCGCGCGGAAGAUGUAACGGGGCUAAACAUACUGCCGAAGCUAUGGGAUUUUACUAAUUCUGAUUUCGAUCCAGAAGGUAAAAUCGGUAGGAGAGCGUUGUAUGGGCAUUGAAGCAGCAACGUAAGUUAGUUGUGGAGACCAUACAAGUGAGAAUGUAGGCAUGAGUAGCGAAGGAAGAGUGAGAAUCUCUUCCGCCGAAUGUCCAAGGGUUCCUGGGGAAGGUUCGUCCGCCCAGGGUUAGUCGGGACCUAAGGCGAGGUCGAGAGACGUAGUCGAUGGAUAACAGAUUGAUAUUUCUGUACCACUAAUUAAGCGCCCAAACCGAAUAUAUGUUGCUAAGGAAAGCCCUUCGGGGCCUACCGACCCACAUAUUACUAGGUUAGCAAUGGAGCGACGGAGAAGGAUAGAUGAGCCCAGGUGAUGGUUAUCCUGGGGUAAAUGUGUAGGAAGACUGAUAGGUAAAUCCGUUAGUCACAUAUUCUGAGACAUGAUGCCGAGCCGCUUUUAGGCGAAGUCAUUGAUUCCAUACUUCCAAGAAAACCUUCUAGUUAGUUUUAUUAGUGCCCGUACCCCAAACCGACACAGGUGGACAAGUAGAGAAUACUAAGGCGAGCGAGAUAACUAUGGUUAAGGAACUCGGCAAAAUAGUUCCGUAACUUCGGGAGAAGGAACGCCCAAGUAAAGUGAUUAAUUAACUUUAUGAGCUUGAACGGGCCGCAGUGAUCAGACUCAAGCGACUGUUUAUCAAAAACACAGGAGGGUGCAAAGUUCUAAUACAACGUAUACCCUCUGACACCUGCCCGGUGCUGGAAGGUUAACUGGAGAGGUUAGCUUCGGCGAAGCUUUGAAAUUAAGCCCCAGUAAACGUCGGCCGUAACUAUAACGGUCCUAAGGUAGCGAAAUUCCUUGUCGGGUAAGUUC
This 1835-nucleotide ribosomal RNA is filed under the name marine metagenome. RNAcentral describes it as "bacterial LSU rRNA". It matches the Rfam family "Bacterial large subunit ribosomal RNA", at positions 268 to 1983 of the family's 2925-position model. The record is from RNAcentral.